UUCCUACGGGGGGCAGCAGUGAGGAAUAUUGGUCAAUGGCCGGAAGGCUGAACCAGCCAAGCCGCGUGAAGGACGAAGGUGCCAAGCAUUGUAAACUUCUUUUGUCAAGGGACAAAAUCAGGCUCGAGAGCCUGACCGAGGGUACUUGGAGAAAAAGCAUCGGCUAACUCCGUGCCAGCAGCCGCGGUAAUACGGAGGAUGCGAGCGUUAUCCGGAUUUACUGGGUGUAAAGGGAGCGUAGGGGGCAGGCCAAGUCAGAUGUGAAAACCCGGGGCUCAACUCCGGGAGUGCAGUUAAAAC
This 300-nucleotide ribosomal RNA is filed under the name uncultured bacterium. Its description in RNAcentral is "bacterial SSU rRNA". It matches the Rfam family "Bacterial small subunit ribosomal RNA", at positions 336 to 633 of the family's 1533-position model. The record is from RNAcentral.